Molecule: ribosomal RNA, 239 nt
Filed under: uncultured bacterium
Lineage: Bacteria
Description: partial 16S ribosomal RNA
Rfam family: Bacterial small subunit ribosomal RNA
Source: RNAcentral
AGCGGCGAACGGGUGAGUAACACGUGGGCAACCUGCCCUACACUCUGGGAUAAGCCCGGGAAACUGGGUCUAAUACCGGAUACGACUCCGCAUCGCAUGGUGUGGGGUGGAAAGUUCCGGCGGUGUAGGAUGGGCCCGCGGCCUAUCAGCUUGUUGGUGGGGUAGUGGCCUACCAAGGCGACGACGGGUAGCCGGCCUGAGAGGGCGACCGGCCACACUGGGACUGAGACACGGCCCAG